UGGGGAAUAUUGCACAAUGGGGGAAACCCUGAUGCAGCCAUGCCGCGUGAAUGAAGAAGGCCUUCGGGUUGUAAAGUUCUUUCGGUGAUGAGGAAGGUGUGAUGGUUAAUACCCAUCGCAAUUGACGUUAGUCACAGAAGAAGCACCGGCUAACUCCGUGCCAGCAGCCGCGGUAAUACGGAGGGUGCGAGCGUUAAUCGGAAUAACUGGGCGUAAAGGGCACGCAGGCGGUUGUUUAAGUGAGGUGUGAAAGCCCCGGGCUCAACCUGGGAAUUGCAUUUCAGACUGGACAACUAGAGUACUUUAGGGAGGGGUAGAAUUCCACGUGUAGCGGUGAAAUGCGUAGAGAUGUGGAGGAAUACCGAAGGCGAAGGCAGCCCCUUGGGAAUGUACUGACGCUCAUGUGCGAAAGCGUGGGGAGCAAACAGG
This 429-nucleotide ribosomal RNA is filed under the name uncultured bacterium. RNAcentral's name for it is "bacterial SSU rRNA". It matches the Rfam family "Bacterial small subunit ribosomal RNA", at positions 355 to 776 of the family's 1533-position model. The record is from RNAcentral.